GGGGGGGGGGGGGGGGGGGGUGGGGGGGUGCGGGUGGGGGGGGGAGUGGUGUGUGCGGUGGCGGGCGGGGGAGGGCCGGGUAAGCACCGGCGCUGGGGGGGGGACCAACCGCGGGAAACGGCUGCUGAUACCCCGUAGGCUGAGGAUCACAAGGCGGAGCCCGCCAGAGGAGGGACGCGCGGCUGCUUAGCUAGGUGGUGCGGCAAUAGCUGACCAAGGCGAUGAUCAGUAGCUGGUCCGAGAGGAUGACCAUCCACACGGGGAGUGAGACACGGCCCAGACGCAUACGGAAGGAAGCAGUGGGGAAUUUUCCGCAAUGGGCGAAAGCCUGACGGAGCAAUGGCGCGUGGAGGUAGAAGGCGUACGGGUCGUGAACUUCUUUUCCCGGAGAAGAAGCAACGAAGGUAUCUGGGGAAUAAGCACCGGCUCACUCUGUG
RNAcentral lists this ribosomal RNA (437 nucleotides) under uncultured bacterium. RNAcentral's name for it is "partial 16S ribosomal RNA". The stretch from base 46 to 437 matches the Rfam family "Bacterial small subunit ribosomal RNA", at positions 39 to 507 of the family's 1533-position model. The record is from RNAcentral.